UGGCGGACGGGUGAGUAACGCGUGGGUAACCUGCCUCAUACAGGGGGAUAACAGUUAGAAAUGACUGCUAAUACCGCAUAAGCGCACAAAACCGCAUGGUUUGGUGUGAAAAACUGAGGUGGUAUGAGAUGGACCCGCGUCUGAUUAGCUAGUUGGAGAGGUAACGGCUCACCAAGGCAACGAUCAGUAGCCGACCUGAGAGGGUGACCGGCCACAUUGGGACUGAGACACGGCCCAAACUCCUACGGAAGGCAGCAG
RNAcentral lists this ribosomal RNA (258 nucleotides) under uncultured bacterium. RNAcentral's name for it is "partial 16S ribosomal RNA". It matches the Rfam family "Bacterial small subunit ribosomal RNA", at positions 96 to 354 of the family's 1533-position model. The record is from RNAcentral.